Non-coding RNA from Zootermopsis nevadensis, 1365 nucleotides. The record is from RefSeq and is a predicted model, not a curated record. NCBI's taxonomy places the organism in Eukaryota, Metazoa, Arthropoda, Insecta, Blattodea, Termopsidae.
UACUGUAACGAUUACGAAAAUACCACAGCAACAAACAAAUGUGAAAGCAUGUAGUGGAAAAUAUUAUAUACUAUUCGGAUGUAUUUUGCGUUUAGAUAGUUUGCCGAUAGACAUUGCAUGGAAAUAAUGUUGAGAAAUAUGUUUUUAAAAAAAGUUUAAUAUUUCGCCCAAAGCAUUUUGUAUAGAUAGUGUGUUGAUAAAUAUCGUUUUGUAAGGCGCGUUAUUUUGACUGCACGAAGUCUUAAAGUGAGGUUAUACUCAUUAAUUAAGUGAGUUUAACAUAACGUUGCCUAUGAAGAUGAGCUAGGAGGCUAAGAAAACGAAGUCAUAUUCUUCGAGAGUUGUGUAUGUUUGCGAAUACAGCUUUUUAAAGAGUGUCACAAAAUUCCUAGCAUCUGUGGAAGGUUACGUUGUACAUAAUAUAAUAUAUGUGUAGUUAAUUCUGUUCGUCACUUUUCAUACAUUCAGUUCACCGACCAUUCUGACAUAACAAUAUAUUUCUGUCCAGUGUAAUCAUCAUUAUGAUCGAAUCACCAAUUUUGUGCCAUCCUGGUUCACAACCUCAUAAGAGUAUACGAAUUGUGUUUACACAUGCAUUUUUACCCUUCCGUGCCUGCUUCUGUAGACAUUUUGAAGUACUUCCAAUCCAGGAACUACACUGAAUUUCUUCGGAAAGUAGAGGAAAAUAGUGCCUUGGAAAACCACGAAGAAGAUGUACUUGAAUUUAGGUUAUGUAUUUUGUGCAUUAUUAACUGGUUUAAUUUUAAUGUACAGGGACUUCAAUUUAUGACGCUGUGGUCGUGCUUGAAGUGCGAGGUCGGCCGGCUCUCUUGGUGUGGGCGGUAUAUUUUCACGUUCAUUCCUUGAGUCGCUGGUGAAUCAAUUUAAUUGCGUCUAUCGUAGCGGAUUGACGUUGAUAAUAUGGUGUAUAGUAUUAAGCAACGUGUGUUCUUAGUCGAAACAUAUACAAAAUAUUCAUCCUACGGAAGAUGCCGCCGUAAAUUUUUCCGACAUUUUCCUGGAGUAUGUGUUCCUAGCAGGUCCAUGAUAGAGAGAUUAGUAAAAAAAUUUCGUAGCACGGGAUCAGUUUUGGAUAAAAAGAAGAACAGGAAACGGAGUGUAUUGACGGAAGAGAAAUUGGAUGAAAUUGGGGCUCUAUUAGAAAAAAGUCCAAGGCAAUCUUUGGCAAGCUUAGCUGCACAAUCCGGCGUGUCAUUGGGAUCUGCUCAAACAGCAACAAGACUUCUGAAACUUAAGCAGAACACUGGUAUAAUCAAAAUGGAAAAUGAUGUUGAUGUUCUAAAUGAAAAUGAUUCCGUUUGCAAGAUAUCUGAUGAGGUUCAUGUACAGUCAGCACUUUCAAUA